GACGAACGCUGGCGGCGUGCUUAACACAUGCAAGUCGAACGGAAAGGCCCUGCUUUUGUGGGUUGCUCGAUUGGCGAACGGGUGAGUAACACGCGAGUAACCUGCCCUUGACUUUGGGAUAACUUCAGGAAACUGGGGCUAAUACCGGAUAGGAGCUCCUGCUGCAUGGUGGGGGUUGGAGAGAUUCGGCGGUUGGGGAUGGACUCGCGGCUUAUCAGCUUGUUGGUGGGGUAGUGGCUGACCAGGGCUUUGACGGGUAGCCGGCCUGAGAGAGUGACCGGCCACAUUGGGACUGAGAUACGGACCAGAAGGCAACGGGAGGCAGCAGUGGGGAAUAUUGCACAAUGGGCGGAAGCCUGAUGCAGCAACGCCGCGUGCGUGAUGACGGCCUUCGGGUUGUAAACCGCUUUCGCCUGUGACGAAGCGUGAGUGACGGUAAUGGGUAAAGAAGCACCGGCUAACUACGUG
Molecule: ribosomal RNA, 468 nt
Filed under: uncultured bacterium
Lineage: Bacteria
Description: partial 16S ribosomal RNA
Rfam family: Bacterial small subunit ribosomal RNA
Source: RNAcentral